GAUGCGGAACUUUUCGCUCCAAAUAAGCAAAAUCCCCAAACUCCAACUCAGACCAAAAUCCCCAAAUUGACCACCCUAACCUAGCCUCCUCCCCGAGCACACGCCGCCGCCCCCACCCUACGCGGCUGCCAACCACCCUUCGCCACACUCCAGUGCCAGCUUCCUCCCCGACCACGCGCCGACCACCGUCCGCCACACCACUGCAACUCCUCCCGGACCAUGCCGCCGAGCACCCUCCGCCGCCCCGACCACCAAUUGCCGGACCUCCAGCAACGCCCAAGCAGCCAAGCCUCCUACACGGUCCUCCGCCAGGCUCCUCUAGGCUCGAGUUGCUCAAGUGUUUCAGCGGAAGGAUCUGUUCGAGUGAGGAUGUCCACAAGGAUGACGUCUAACUUCCACCAGAUCUGGCAUGAAACGAGGAUCCCCAAGCGACUCGUAGAUGCGAAGGAAAAUUGAGCAAGGUUCCGCCUCCCAUGGUUGAGCAAUCGUAAGGGUUAUGUUGUCUCUCCAUGUUGCUGGUUAUAUGAGCCCAACUAAUAUUUGCUUCCUGUGAUCUAGGGAAGGAUAAAAUUGAUGAUUCCUACCUGCCAUACUCAUCUAUUUCUGUUUUCAGUUGACAUUCCUACUGUACGAAUUACAGUCUUUGGUACAUUCACUUAUCCCUUCAAAUUUGACAAGCAUGGAAGAAUCUGAAUAUCACUUAUCCCUCUCCCGUUAUUAUUUAGCAUAUGCUAACUGACUGCUGUGUUUAUGCUUAUAUCCUUCGGUUAUAGUUUAUAACAAACCAAAUUAAGGAUUUUGUGUUCAUCUCUGAAACUUCAUAAUGAUGGUUGGUAUUUAAUCUUUCAAAGGAAUGCAGCAAGCUGUUGUACUAGGAAGAUUAUCCUGACAUGGGAGUUUUUUUAGGAACAGGAGAGUCGCACACAUAUGAAGUAUAGAAAUUUAUCCUUAAUGUGCUAGGCUUAAUGCAACUAGAUAAAUGUUCAACAAGGCAUAUUGAUGUGUUAAAUUGUUUUCAGUUUCAGAUGUCAAUACAAGAAAGGUAACCUUGUGUUAGAUCUUCAAUCCAAAGGAGAAAUUGGUGCAUCGGGACAUUUAAACUGAACCUAAAUUAAGGUAAUAAUAUAUGUAAAGUAUGUUAUUUUCUGUUGUUCUAAAGCCCCAUUGUUUUGGUUCAUUUUAGAAAAACAGGGCCACUCUCAGGUUCCAUUUUGAUUGAACUUAAACUGCAUACAUAGUUAACACCAUUGAGACAGACUGAGUAGCUAACCACUUAUAAGGUUUUCCAGAAAAGAAUGAUGAAAUAAAAGGGGACACCAUCGAGACAAACUGAGUAGCUAUCUCGAAGUCUUGUGAAUGGAAGGAAAUUGGGAUAUUUGCUAAUUCUGUACUAGUCAAAACGUAUGUGUGUAGAUAUUCUGAUCAUUCUGGUUCAUGUCCUACUUAAUUAAGGUCUUCGUUUAUAGGCCUUGCGCAAAUGAUAUGAUUAUUUAACAACUUAGUUUCAUGGUGUUGGAUCUCACGUGAAUAAACUAUAUGUCGAAGUGUUUGCUGUUCUUUGCUUAACUAGAUAUCAAAGUAUAAACAACAAGCUCGUAUACAAUAUGUCAAAUUAUAAUCAAAUAACAAGCUCGUGUUCUUUGCUUAAUAAUGAUAAGAGCUUUACAAUUAACAAGCUCCAGUACAAAGAUGUCAAAGUUUUAAUAUAAAUUGUACCAACUUAUAAUGGUGGAUUCUAAUUAUAGUGGACUAGAUAAGCGGCCUUCGGUGACAUUUUGAGCUCUUGUCUGUUGUCUUCAACUGAUAGUGUAUAGCAGCCAACAAUGUGAAUUUAUGAUGGUUAUUUAGUUUAUUUUAUUGUACAUUCUGCAGAGCUUUCCUCAUUAAUUCAUUUUUUCACAAAAUUGGGAAGACUAUUGUAUUGCUGCGUAAACUGGAGCAAGGCCGUACCAUUUCCAUCUGACAAAACAUCCUGAAUGUCUUGUCUAGUUCUUACACUCUAACAAGGCCAUACAUAACGGUGUUGUAAGAUGAAAGUCUGGACAUGAUUUAGCUUUUAAACUUACAGUAUACUGCUCUUACAAUGUUGUAAGAUUUGAAGGUCGAAGAUACUACACUUCGGUUGAUCUUUACUUGCAAUCUAAUUUGCAUGUUGGUGUGUGUUCUUCAGGAAUCAUGAUACUACUUUAUGAUCUGAUUGGUGAAAGAGGUUGAAAAUGUUCCUGUAAGAUUCGUCAAGAUACCUUGCCUUAACCAUAUGCCGUGAGCUCACGCAGAACUUAUAGGCUUUACUCUUUGUGGUUGUUUCAUCUUGUACUGCUCAAAUGUCUAGAAACUACAGAUGCUAAAUUAUGAGGGAAGUCUUCAUAUGUUUUUUUCGAGAGUACGCCUAGGCGUACCAUAUUUUUAUAGAAGGCAGAAAUAUUGUACAAGAAA
Molecule: non-coding RNA, 2436 nt
Organism: Triticum urartu
Lineage: Eukaryota; Viridiplantae; Streptophyta; Magnoliopsida; Poales; Poaceae
Source: RefSeq, a predicted model, not a curated record